RNAcentral lists this ribosomal RNA (696 nucleotides) under uncultured Alphaproteobacteria bacterium. Its description in RNAcentral is "bacterial SSU rRNA". It matches the Rfam family "Bacterial small subunit ribosomal RNA", at positions 10 to 752 of the family's 1533-position model. Lineage: Bacteria; Pseudomonadati; Pseudomonadota; Alphaproteobacteria. The record is from RNAcentral.
AGUUGUAUCCUGGCUCAGAACGAACGCUGGCGGCAGGCUUAACACAUGCAAGUCGAACGCUCACUUCGGUGAGAGUGGCAGACGGGUGAGUAACGCGUGGGAAUAUACCUAUCAGUACGGAACAACAGUUGGAAACGACUGCUAAUACCGUAUACGCCCUUCGGGGGAAAGAUUCAUCGCUGAUAGAUUAGCCCGCGUUAGAUUAGCUAGUUGGUGGGGUAAAGGCCUACCAAGGCGACGAUCUAUAGCUGGUCUGAGAGGAUGAUCAGCCACACUGGGACUGAGACACGGCCCAGACUCCUACGGGAGGCAGCAGUGGGGAAUAUUGGACAAUGGGCGCAAGCCUGAUCCAGCCAUGCCGCGUGUGUGAUGAAGGCCUUAGGGUUGUAAAGCACUUUCAACGGUGAAGAUAAUGACGGUAACCGUAGAAGAAGCCCCGGCUAACUUCGUGCCAGCAGCCGCGGUAAUACGAAGGGGGCUAGCGUUGUUCGGAAUUACUGGGCGUAAAGCGCACGUAGGCGGAUUGAUCAGUUAGAGGUGAAAUCCCGGGGCUCAACCCCGGAACUGCCUUUAAUACUGUCAAUCUAGAGAUCGAGAGAGGUGAGUGGAAUUCCGAGUGUAGAGGUGAAAUUCGUAGAUAUUCGGAGGAACACCAGUGGCGAAGGCGGCUCACUGGCUCGAUACUGACGCUNAGGU